Molecule: ribosomal RNA, 653 nt
Filed under: uncultured bacterium
Lineage: Bacteria
Description: bacterial SSU rRNA
Rfam family: Bacterial small subunit ribosomal RNA (bases 1-543)
Source: RNAcentral
CCUACGGGAGGCAGCAGUAAGGAAUAUUGGACAAUGGGCGCAAGCCUGAUCCAGCCAUGCCGCGUGAAGGAUUAAGGUCCUCUGGAUUGUAAACUUCUUUUAUAGGGGACGAAAAAAGGGCAUUCUUGCUCACUUGACGGUACCCUAUGAAUAAGCACCGGCUAACUCCGUGCCAGCAGCCGCGGUAAUACGGAGGGUGCAAGCGUUAUCCGGAUUCACUGGGUUUAAAGGGUGCGUAGGCGGGCAGUUAAGUCAGUGGUGAAAUCUCCGAGCUCAACUCGGAAACUGCCAUUGAUACUAUCUGUCUUGAAUAUUGUGGAGGUAAGCGGAAUAUGUCAUGUAGCGGUGAAAUGCUUAGAUAUGACAUAGAACACCUAUUGCGAAGGCAGCUUACUACGCAUAUAUUGACGCUGAGGCACGAAGGCGUGGGGGAUCAAACAGGAUUAGAUACCCUGGUAGUCCACGCCCUAAACCGAUGGAUACUCGACAUACGACGAUACACUGUGUGUGUCGUGAGCGAAGACGAUUAAGUUAGUCCUUACCGUUCGGUAAGGUUACGGUUCCGCCGAGGAGAGAACGUUACGAAGUUAGAGUUAGUUACGGCGUUGAGGACGUUACGCCGACGGACGGACGACGACGGGGAGGUAGGGUAG